Molecule: ribosomal RNA, 502 nt
Filed under: uncultured bacterium
Lineage: Bacteria
Description: bacterial SSU rRNA
Rfam family: Bacterial small subunit ribosomal RNA
Source: RNAcentral
UCUGGCUCAGGAUGAACGCUGGCGGCGUGCUUAACACAUGCAAGUCGAACGGAGUAUAGACGCUGCAGAGAUUUCGGUCGAAGCUUGUUAUACUUAGUGGCGGACGGGUGAGUAACGCGUGGGUAACCUGCCGUAUGCAGGGGGACAACAGUUGGAAACGACUGCUAAUACCGCAUAUGCGCACAGUACCGCAUGGUACAGUGUGGAAAGAUUUAUCGGCAUACGAUGGACCCGCGUUUGAUUAGAUAGUUGGUGAGGUAACGGCUCACCAAGUCGACGAUCAAUAGCCGGCCUGAGAGGGCAAUCGGCCACAUUGGGACUGAGACACGGCCCAAACUCCUACGGGAGGCAGCAGUGGGGAAUAUUGCACAAUGGGGGAAACCCUGAUGCAGCCGACGCCGCGUGAGUGAAGAAGUAUUUCGGUAUGUAAAGCUCUAUCAGCAGGGAAGAUGAUGACGGUACCUGACUAAGAAGCCCCGGCUAACUACGUGCCAGCCGCCGC